Molecule: long non-coding RNA, 405 nt
Organism: Fundulus heteroclitus (mummichog)
Lineage: Eukaryota; Metazoa; Chordata; Actinopteri; Cyprinodontiformes; Fundulidae
Exons: 2
Source: RefSeq, a predicted model, not a curated record
GGUGAAGUGAGAUGGUAGUCGUCGCUAAGUAGACCAAGGAGCGGGUACUGGUUCCUGUACCUACAGAGCCAAACAAAUGGACAGGCCUCCCUUAAGGACUCAUUCUGGUGAGCUGCAUGAUGUGUGACUGCUGUACCUCUUGGUGAUGACCGUCUUGGUGACGUUCUUGGAGCUGUCGUUCCUCUCCAUCAUCAGUUUUCUGAUCUCCUGUGGACCAAGAUGGUUCAAAGUCAGCAAACUUUAAUCAGUUUCAGAAAAAAACAGCUGUGUAACAUUAAAUUAAAUCAAUAAAUAACUUAUUCUAUGAGUGUAACCAUAAUAUGCCUAAUAUGCCUCCCGUAUGUUUAAAGAAAUUCCUCUGUAUUUUACAGCCACCCGUUUUCAAAUUAAAUGGUAAAUGGUAAA